This 460-nucleotide ribosomal RNA is filed under the name uncultured bacterium. RNAcentral describes it as "partial 16S ribosomal RNA". It matches the Rfam family "Bacterial small subunit ribosomal RNA", at positions 338 to 795 of the family's 1533-position model. The record is from RNAcentral.
CCUACGGGGGGCAGCAGUGAGGAAUAUUGGUCAAUUGACGAGAGUCUGAACCAGCCAAGUAGCGUGAAGGAUGACUGCCCUAUGGGUUGUAAACUUCUUUUAUAUGGGAAUAAAACGUUCCACGUGUGGGAUUUUGUAUGUACCAUAUGAAUAAGGAUCGGCUAACUCCGUGCCAGCAGCCGCGGUAAUACGGAGGAUCCGAGCGUUAUCCGGAUUUAUUGGGUUUAAAGGGAGCGUAGGUGGAUUGUUAAGUCAGUUGUGAAAGUUUGCGGCUCAACCGUAAAAUUGCAGUUGAAACUGGCAGUCUUGAGUACAGUAGAGGUGGGCGGAAUUCGUGGUGUAGCGGUGAAAUGCUUAGAUAUCACGAAGAACUCCGAUUGCGAAGGCAGUUCACUGGACUGCAACUGACACUGAGGCUCGAAAGUGUGGGUAUCAAACAGGAUUAGAUACCCCAGUAGUC